AGCCAGCCGUGAUGAUGGGUGUCAUAAUCCCAGAGAUACUCAGGAGGCUGAGGCAGAAGAAUCACUUGAACCUGGGAAGCGGAGGUUGCAGUGAGCCAAGAUCGCACCAUUGCACUCCAGCCUGGACGACAACAGCGGAACUCUGUGUGCAGAUCCACCAGGAAAACAGAGGAGUCUAUCUAGUGGGGGCACUUCUUCAUCUCCUCCUGCUGAGUGUGAGCAUACACUUGUGAAGAUGUGCAAGCCAGCCUUUCAUGCAUUUAUCUCCCUCCAUUUCAGACAACCAAUGUUUUAGUUGUCUGUUCCAAUUUUCUAUCAAACUAUUAUUCUGAGGAGGAGAUCUCUCUGCCCAUUGUUGGACAUUAUAGGCUAUAUUGCGUAUUUCUUGGCCUGAAGAAAUGUGAAUCUGCCAUCCAAAUUGGUGCAAUAUCUUCUAUUCCACUUCUUUUAUGGCAUUCUGAGUAUUUGCAUCUUCCACCAGCGUAAAAAUCCAUACUUCGGGAUUCGAUGAACUCUUGGAAAGCAUUUUCUGCAUCCUGCUGUUUGUGGAAGCAUUUUCUCCGCAAAAAGUUGUCAAGAUCCUUGAAGAAAUGGUAGACAAUUGGCUAGAGGUCAGGUAAAUAUGGCGGAUGAGGCAAAACUUCAUAGCCCAAUUCAUUCAACUUUUGAAGUGUUGGUUGUGCGAUGUGCAGUUGGUUGUUGUGGAGAAUUGGACCCUUUCUGUUGACCAAUGCUGGUCGCAGGCAUUGCAGUUUUCAGUGCAUCUCAUCGAUUUGCUGAGCAUACUUCUCAGAUAUAAUGGUUUCACUGGGAUUCAGAAAACAGUAGUGGAUCAGACUGGCAGCAGAUCACCAAACAGUGACCAUGACCUUUUGUUUUUUGGUGCAAGUUUGGCUUUGUGAAGUGCUUUGGAGCUUCUUCUAAGUCCAACCACUGACCUAGUUGUCACCAGUUGCCGUAUAAAAUCCACUUUUCAUCACAUGUCACAAUCCAGUUGAGAAAUUGUUCAUUGUUGUUGCAUAGAAUAAGAGAAGAUGACACUUCAAAAAUACUUUUUUUAAAUUUUUGCUCAGCUCAUUAAGAACCCACUUAUUGAGGUUUUUCACCUUUCCAAUUUGCAUCAAACGCCGAACGAUCAUAGAAUGGUCAAGUUGAGUUCUUCAGCAACUUCUCCCGUAGCUGUAAGAGGAUCAGCUUCGAUGAUUGUUCUCAAUUGGUCAGUGUUAACUUCUGAUGGCUGGUCACUACACUCCUGGUCUUCAAGGUUCAUGUCUCCUUUGCAAAACUUCUUGAACCACCACUGCACCGUAUGUUCAUUAGCAGUUCCUGGGCCAAAUGUGUUGUUGAUGUUGUGAGUUGUCUCCACUGCUUUACAACCCAUUUUCAACUAAAAAAAAAUCAUUCAAAUUUGCUUUUUGUCUAACAUUAUUUCCAUAGCCUAAAAUAAAUAUGAA
RNAcentral lists this long non-coding RNA (1454 nucleotides) under Homo sapiens (human). RNAcentral describes it as "HSALNT0386257". The record is from RNAcentral. Lineage: Eukaryota; Metazoa; Chordata; Mammalia; Primates; Hominidae.